AGGGAUGUAGCUCAGAGGCACAGCACCUGCCUGGCAAGCAUGAGGUCCUGAGUUCAAUCCCCAGUACCCCCC
Non-coding RNA from Fukomys damarensis (Damara mole-rat), 72 nucleotides. The record is from Rfam. Lineage: Eukaryota; Metazoa; Chordata; Mammalia; Rodentia; Bathyergidae.